This 486-nucleotide ribosomal RNA is filed under the name uncultured bacterium. RNAcentral describes it as "partial 16S ribosomal RNA". It matches the Rfam family "Bacterial small subunit ribosomal RNA", at positions 30 to 507 of the family's 1533-position model. The record is from RNAcentral.
AUUGAACGCUGGCGGCAUGCCUUACACAUGCAAGUCGAACGGCAGCACGGGUGCUUGCACCUGGUGGCGAGUGGCGAACGGGUGAGUAAUACAUCGGAACAUGUCCUGUAGUGGGGGAUAGCCCGGCGAAAGCCGGAUUAAUACCGCAUACGAUCUACGGAUGAAAGCGGGGGACCUUCGGGCCUCGCGCUAUAGGGUUGGCCGAUGGCUGAUUAGCUAGUUGGUGGGGUAAAGGCCUACCAAGGCGACGAUCAGUAGCUGGUCUGAGAGGACGACCAGCCACACUGGGACUGAGACACGGCCCAGACUCCUACGGGAGGCAGCAGUGGGGAAGUUUGGACAAUGGGCGAAAGCCUGAUCCAGCAAUGCCGCGUGUGUGAAGAAGGCCUUCGGGUUGUAAAGCACUUUUGUCCGGAAAGAAAUCCUUGGCCCUAAUACGGUCGGGGGAUGACGGUACCGGAAGAAUAAGCACCGGCUAACUACGUG